UCCAAAAUUAUUCGGAAAAAACGAUCACACA
RNAcentral lists this non-coding RNA (31 nucleotides) under Mus musculus (house mouse). The record is from RNAcentral. Lineage: Eukaryota; Metazoa; Chordata; Mammalia; Rodentia; Muridae.